CGUUUAACUGUUUUAGGGGCACGAGUAGUUGAGUCCAUAGAAUCAUAUCUAUAUGCGCUGAGUGAGAGCUGCAAGUCCCACUAGGACGGGACAUGAGAAAUAGUUCAGGCGUCGCUGCGCCUCUAAACCAUGUGAAAUCAGCGCGGCGCCCUUUUCUGGUUUUAUAUAAAGUUGAUGAUCAGGAAAUAUAGUAGCGCCACCUUGCGGUAAAUCGUUUAACUAUAGAGGAGAAUUUAGCCUAGUUUUUAUAAAAUUUAUAAAGAGGUAUUUAGAGCACUUACGAAAAGCGUAAUGGAGGCUUUUAGACUGCCCGAUCGAGACUAAAAGUUUUAGAUUUGAUUGGAAAUGAUAUAUAUUUUAUAUGUCAUAUAAUUUACCUGUUGCUUUUCAGCUUUUACAGCCAAGCCGUCGUACUGCAGCACGAAAUCUUUGCCAAAGUCCAGAUUCAUUCCCGUCAUAGCCCUAAGGCGAUUAUGGAGUGCAUGAUUCAGCUCUAAGUUUAUUGUUUUGCUAGCAUAUUGCUCAGUUCGAUCAUAUUUUAUGCUGUCUUGCCUUAUGUUCAGCAGUUCUUCAAUUUCUUUGUCGUAUAUGACAUUAUGAUAAAGGGCCACAUAGGGUUUCAUGCUAAGUAACUCCACUCUGAAGCGUGCCAGCAUAAGAAAGGGUUCAGUGGAAUUACUGUAGUAGCAGAACAAUUUUCUCACAGCUGGAAACUGACCUCGACAGCCGCGCUGUGCUGUCGUCACAUAUUCGAGCUUGUGCUGCCAUAAUAAAGUCAAUUGCUGACCAAACUUCUGCAGAGCUCGUCGCUGCAGCCACAGUGAAAUGUGUGAAUCGGCGACGUAGUUAAGCACAUCCAAAGCCUCCUCGAUAUUGCCUAUAAGAUAUUUAUCAUAAAAUAAUUCUAUAUGCCCCACUUUUCCACUCACCACUGUUAGAUAACAUGGUGACAUACAUUCUAUAUAAAUCA
Long non-coding RNA from Drosophila mojavensis, 970 nucleotides. RefSeq lists it as uncharacterized. The record is from RefSeq and is a predicted model, not a curated record. The transcript has 3 exons. Lineage: Eukaryota; Metazoa; Arthropoda; Insecta; Diptera; Drosophilidae.